GUCCAUGUAGCGCUAAGGAUAGCGCGUUGAACCUUUAAUUCAAAGGUCAUGGUUUCGAAUCCCAUCUGGGAUG
Non-coding RNA from Trichonephila inaurata madagascariensis, 73 nucleotides. NCBI's taxonomy places the organism in Eukaryota, Metazoa, Arthropoda, Arachnida, Araneae, Nephilidae. The record is from the annotation of a GenBank genome assembly.